This 672-nucleotide long non-coding RNA is filed under the name Panax ginseng (ginseng). Its description in RNAcentral is "long non-coding RNA (PGIN_LNC013108)". Lineage: Eukaryota; Viridiplantae; Streptophyta; Magnoliopsida; Apiales; Araliaceae. The record is from RNAcentral.
AAUACCAAACGGUUCUAUCAAUGGCACAUUAUAAUAUAUUGUAAACAUAAGAAUUUAGAUUUAAAAGUAUCUGGUGUAUCUCGUGGUUCAGGUGCCUUUUCUUUUCUGUUUUCUACCUUGGUAUUGGUGAUGCCAGGUUCUUUGAAGAUGCUUUAAAUAGCUGGAAAGGGAUUUUCACCUCAAGGAAACACAGAGAUUUUUCUCUAUAAUUAAAAAAAAUAGACACAUAUAGAGAUGCAUGUUUGUAUGUACCAUUUAGAGGGAGAAUGAUAAGAGAUGCUUUAUGGGGUGGAACUCCCCUUCACAAAGUUCGUAAGUUGACUCGAGUAUUUUCUUUUCUGGAUUCCAGAAGGUGUAUCGGGACCUUCUCAGCACUAGAAAAGAUGUUUACAGAAACAUUUGUUCUUCUAUCGGACAGUUAGUAUUUGUGCUGCAUCAUUUACACAUCAUUGAAGAACACUUGGUUUUAGAUGAGAGACAGAGUGUGCAAAAGAAAGAAAUAUGAACUGAUGUAAUUCCUAAGAGUGACGUUGUCAGCUGAAUAGAGUCUUUUACCUGUUAUGCUACUUCUUAUGCAUGCAGCUUUUCCAUUAGAAAAAAGCUCUUUAUUCUUCAGCUUGUAGAAGCACGCGAUCUAGAUGGCUUACUUGAGCUUGUAUAGCAAGGGAGGAU